UACAGAGGGGGCAAGCGUUGUUCGGAAUUACUGGGCGUAAAGCGCGCGUAGGCGGUUUUGCAAGCCAGAGGUGAAAUGCCUGAGCUCAACUUAGGAAUUGCCUUUGGGACUGCGAGGCUUUGAGGACUGGAGAGGUGAGUGGAAUUCCCAGUGUAGAGGUGAAAUUCGUAGAUAUUGGGAAGAACACCGGUGGCGAAGGCGGCUCACUGGCCAGUUUCUGACGCUGCAGCGCGAAAGCGUGGGGAUCAAACAGG
Molecule: ribosomal RNA, 254 nt
Filed under: uncultured bacterium
Lineage: Bacteria
Description: partial 16S ribosomal RNA
Rfam family: Bacterial small subunit ribosomal RNA
Source: RNAcentral